GCGUGAGAGACAAGACAGAACUGUAACAAGGCGGACUUUUCGGAAUGUACAACUUUUCUACUACUGGUUUUACAAGGCGUACACGCAUGUCUUUCAUCCUGUUUUCCUUCUUUCACCCCAACCGGUCGCAGCAGAUGGCCCCGCCUCCCUGAGCCUGGGUCUGCCGGAGGUUUCUUCCUGUUAAAGGGAGUUUUUCCUUCCCACUGUCGCCAAAGUGCUUGCUCAUAGGGGGUCAUAUGAUUGUUGGGUUUUUCUCUGUAUUUAUUAUUGUGCUAUCUACUGUACAAUAUAAAGCGCCUUGAGGCGACUUUUGUUGUGAUUUGGCGCUAUAUAAAUAAAAUUGAAUUGAAUUGAAUUGAAUUGAAUUAUGUAUAAUCACAUGCACUUAAAGCAUCUUAUUCCUGGUACUGUCUGGCAACCCCACCACCAGCACCAAUUCAUCAUCACAGCCAUGUUCUACCCUGCAAGUCAGUUUCGCUGUCUGUUCAGUGUCCUCCAACAAGGAUGGAUGGUGGUGGGUUUCAUAAUGUUCACAAUGGUAUUUUAUUAGUUGUUGGUUUAACCAUGGAUGAGUCAAUGGCUGUUGUUAUUUUCUUUUCAGUGACGUUCCUUGUUACAUGUUCAUUGCUGGAUUAAUGCAAAAACAUCAGCUAAUAUUGCAUAUCCAUAAUUAUUAUAAUGGAUAUAUGUGUACACGUGUAUGUAUAACUUGUACAUAUCUUUCUUGUGUAAAUGCAAAUGCCUGUGUUACUGUGUAAAUACCUAUGUUAUUAUGUAUUACACACAACGGAGAGAUGCCAAACUGUGUUUCAUUGUUCUUGUAACAGUGACAAUAAAGAGCUAUUUUAUUCUAUUCUAUUACCUCAGACUUCUGUACACCAACUACAGCGUAACAACCUGUAAAUAACAGAUCACCUGCAGUGUAUACCUUCAAGUUUAUACCUGUAAUUUCUGUACUUUGUCUAUGAUAUUUGUCAGUUAAAGAUAUUUUAACCUGUUGUAAUGUUUAUUUAACCAGGA
Molecule: long non-coding RNA, 1020 nt
Organism: Oreochromis aureus
Lineage: Eukaryota; Metazoa; Chordata; Actinopteri; Cichliformes; Cichlidae
Source: Ensembl